GCCUUACUGGCAAAGCUGUUAAACUGCUUUGUAAUCAGUAGGUGGUCUGUUCGAGUCGGACAAGGGGCACCA
RNAcentral lists this transfer RNA (72 nucleotides) under Polynucleobacter sp. Tro8-14-1. RNAcentral describes it as "tRNA-Ser". The record is from RNAcentral. RNAcentral also lists the same sequence under 2 other names. Lineage: Bacteria; Pseudomonadati; Pseudomonadota; Betaproteobacteria; Burkholderiales; Burkholderiaceae.